UUGUAGAGGCGAAUUUCCCAUUAAAAAUACUGUAUUCAGGGCCUGCAUUGUAAUUAUGUUUAAGAGGCGAAUUUCCCUUUGAAAAUACUGUUUCAAUUGAAUUUCCGCAACGUGGUGACGGGCGCAGGCGUAUUUAACCUUGGUUCAGGUUUGUUUCUCUCCCAAGUGUGAAUGAAAAAUAUACGGAAGACAGCAGAGGAGUGCCAGGAACUUCUGAACUACAGCUUCACAGAGACUGGAGAGUCCCAGACAGACAUCAUGACGUAUCCAGAGAUCUAGGACUAUUACAUUCUCUAUACUUUUGAAGUUUCAAUGACAUUUGGAAAUUCAGGGAUCAGAUGGGAUUUACAGUAGGCUAUUUAGAAUAAUCUCUGUCACAUUUUAAGGACGACAGGGGAUCGGGAGAUGAAGGUAAAUUAUGUCAUGUCAUUUAUUUGAAAGUGUAAAACAAGGAACAGUUGCGAAUAUUUGUAUGAUUAGUGAAAUCACGAAACCUGGCACUCGUUAACUGAAGGUAUGCAAGAAGACCGCAGAUCAAAGAAGUGCCGCGCACAGAGUGGUACAGAUCGAGCAGCACGCAAGAUGCAGGAGGACCCGGUGUAUGAUUUCCCUGAGCCGGUAGGGAAGCCGAUAGGAGAGAGGCGGGCUUGUCUUCAGCGUAGCUCCCUGAAGAGCAUCAGUGUGCUGGACCGUCUGCUUCUCACACACUCCGUCUGGCUGCAGCUGUCCAUCAACUCUGCUACCGCUCUGCACAUCCUACAGAGGGAGCCGCCUGGGACCUUUCUAGUGCGCAGGUCCAACACCUCGCAGAAGAAAGUGCUGUGUGUCAGGCUUGCAGAUGACUGCCUCCCCUCCUUUUUCAAACAAUUUGUCAUCCAGGAAUUGGACUCCACUUUCUCCUUGGAGAGAGCUGCUAUCAGUUUCCCUGACCUCUGCCGGCUCAUCGCCUUCUACUGUGUUAGCCGGGAUGUGUUGCCCUUCCCCCUGGAGCUCCCUGAGGCCAUAGUCAAGGCUUCAUCCCACAAACAGCUGGAAUCCAUCUCCCACAUGGGAGUGGAGUUCUGGAGCUCGCCGCUGAACUUCAGAGGUCCACGCAAUGGGCCCCCACCAGUGGAGGAGGCACCGCUGCCCCCUAGCCCCACCCCUGAGGAUUGUGCCACACCCGAGGAGAGCCCCACCCUGUUUCAAGAGUUCUGCUCCAUCCAAACACGCAGCCCCCGGGAGCUGAACUGUGGGGCAGCAGGCCAAGGGGCUCUCUGUUUCAUCAACCCACUCUUCCUGCAGUUCCAGACUGCACUGCACAGACGCCGCCACCAGUUCAAACGCAGCCUCAAGGUGCGUGUCUCCACUGAGAACUCUAGCCCAUUGUCCCCACCAUUUGCUCCUCCCCCUCCCCCACCUCUGCUGGCCAAGAAAAAGAGCAAGAAGGUCCAUCAGGCCAGUAGAGCAGUGGAGGCCAGAGUGGAGGGUGAGGGAGGGACAGCACCCGUUCAGGAGGACUCAGACUACUUGCAGCCAUGCUUGGUUCUCCCAGUUCUUCCAAAAAAGACCAGGGUCACACCCACACUGUCUCCCACUGCAGAGGAGGAGGACUACCAUGUGCCCAUAGGUCUCCUGCAGGGACUGGGCCAGGAGAAAUGAGGUGAGGGGGAGGAGGUGAGUGAGGAGGUGGAUCUCUUGCUGGAGCAGAGAUAUGCUCCCUCCCUGAGUGAGCUGGACAGCAGCAGUUCCCUCAGCAGCUUGGAGGAGACAGAGGAGAACCCAGAGCGACCUCCCCUCACCAGGGGAACAAGUAACCCCUCUCCCCCAUGCACCUCUCCCGCUCGUCAGCCCGUCUCAGCCUUGCGCAAGCUUAGUGCAGCUUUUGUGUCCUUCUUUGUGCCUGAGAAGCGUGUGGCGAGGCUGGUGGAGGACCUGUCCCGUGACAAGAGGACUGCGUUUGGUGUCCUGGUGCAGGACUUCCUCAGGCAGCAGCGCGAGGUGAUCAAGCCUCAGUGCCAGAGAUCUGGCAUAGAGCUACUGCACGGCAUCCGUCUCUUCCUCUCCCAGGCCAAGACCUUCCUGCUGGACUGUGGAGACCUACAGCCCCCCAUUGAGACCAUGGUGCAUGAUGAUGAGAAAGACCUGGUGCUGGAGAAAGCCAUGUUCCGCUGUGUGCUGAAACCUUUGAAAGGACAGAUAGAUGGGACACUGCAAACUUUGCAUGAGCGAGACCGCUCCACCCAAAGCAUGGCAGAGAGCCUGGCUAAGGCCAGGGGAAAGACCCCGUUGGAGUGUUUUGGAGUGCGGGUGGGAGUGCCGGAUGCUGCCGAUGUGGAGAAGGUGCUGCAGAAGUUAGCUGUCAUGAGGCGGGCAUACUCUCCCAUUGACAAGGUUGUGCUGCUUCUGCAGGUCUGCAAGCUCAUCUAUAAAGCCAUGAAGGACAAUUCAGGCCAGGAGUUCGGUGCAGAUGACUUCCUGCCAGCCUUGUCCUAUGUCCUCGUACAGUGUAACAUGCCUGAGCUGUCUGUGGAGGUGGAGUACAUGAUGGAACUGCUGGAGCAAUCAUGGCUCAAAGGGGAGGGUGGGUACUACCUGACCAGUGUGUAUGCCAGCCUGUGCCUGAUCCAGAGCAAGCCUGAAGUAGUACCCUCCAGUGGGCUGACCCGCGAGGCCAGAGACUCUUUGAAAGACUGGAGCCGGCGCCGGAGCCUCCAGGCGCAAAGCCAGAAAAACUUACGACAGCAACUGAGGUGUGUCAGGGUUCUGUUUCAAGACGGAGAGAACAGCUGGAUGAAAACCCUGCAGUGGAGGGCAGGAGUUAGUGGGGGGGCCCUGACCCAGCUCUGUGCUGCUAAAUUUGGGGUGGACAACCCAGAACUGUACAAACUGUACUGGCGGAGUGAGGGGGAGAUCAAAGACCUCCCAACACAGGCCCAGAUCCAGGACCUACAGGGCCAAGGCAGCAGUGGGACACCCCUCAUAUACCAGCAAGCCAACCAGGAUCAACUCAAGACUCGCAAACAGGAGACGGUGGACCUUAUGGGAUUACCUUGAGAGGUCCACUUUGGUAUCCACACAUUAUUGACCGAUGUUCUUAAACCACUCAACUGCUAGAAAUAAUUGCUUUGUACUUUAUUAAACUAUUUAAAUGAAAAAUGCCAACAUAGUCUAACUUUCCAGAUUACCAGAAGCGCGCGGCCCAUUGGAGAUUCAUCUCGCAAAUCUAGUGCGAAGGCAUUUUAGAAACAUUGCCCCUAUAGCUAAUACCGGACACUCAUUCAUUCUUCAUCGCGCAGUCUUCUAAACUCCCGACUCCAUUUAAUGCCAAGAUGUUUAUUUUUAUUUGUGAUUAUACUUUUGUAAUGCUUUUUGUGACGUAGAUCAUAAUUAGUUAGUCUCAGGUUGCGUGAACCUCGUAAUGUUACGUGGAAAAUGGGAUGCAGAAUUAAAUGUAUAUCACACUCGAACAAAUGCGACCAGUUAUUUUUCGUAUUUGCAUUUCUAUUCACUAACAAAUGCGAGUGAACUGCUGGCACGUUAGAGCCCACUGAAUGUCCGCCAACGUUAGCUUGAAACAAUUUGUGUUUACCUUUCCACAACACACGGAGUCGAAAAGGGAUUUGUCCAUGUUGAAGUAAAACUGACAGUCGGCAAACUCAGCAUUUCAACAAACAGAAAGGGCAGACACGGGAUAGCUACGUCGAAUAAUGAUAUAUUCAUCUCCAUGUCCGUUGACACAAACUCCGUAUAUGUCUGUGUUGCAGCUCGAGAAUCGGGAUGUUAGAUUUACUCAGUGGAUUUAUUUUUUAUUAAAAUGUAACAAAAAUCAGGCCCUAUUCAUUUCUACGUACUUUCAAUUCGGACCUCGUACAUGGACAGAAAAUGUCGUAGUUGGUACGCAAAAUGCGUGCAUGUUGGCAGGUCUGAGAUUGCAAGGCAAUGAAAAAUAAAUACAAAGCUCUGUGUAAAUUAUAUUCCAAUGUGUACCAGUUUAGUAUGCAGCUGAUUACACAAGGUAUCUGAGAUAUUUUUCAUAACAAAAAACAGACAUCGGUCUUAUUGUUUUAAUCACAUGUAUUUUUGUAUAGGUUGUUUCUCAACAACCUAACCAAGAGAGAGACUUAUAGUACUGUGGACCCUUUGACAAUGCUUUGCCUUUGACCAUGUCACAGUGGUGGCUUCAAGUGCCCUGGACACAAGGGACAAAAAGCUUAUCAUAUGAUUAAUAUUAUUUGGAAGGAGUUCUAUAAAAAGAACAUUGUCAAGA
Oncorhynchus mykiss (rainbow trout) is the source of this 4249-nucleotide RNA transcript. It is a transcript of the gene named ras and Rab interactor 2-like, with no coding region annotated. Lineage: Eukaryota; Metazoa; Chordata; Actinopteri; Salmoniformes; Salmonidae. The record is from RefSeq and is a predicted model, not a curated record.